This 594-nucleotide ribosomal RNA is filed under the name uncultured Bacteroidota bacterium. RNAcentral's name for it is "bacterial SSU rRNA". It matches the Rfam family "Bacterial small subunit ribosomal RNA", at positions 122 to 715 of the family's 1533-position model. The record is from RNAcentral. Lineage: Bacteria; Pseudomonadati; Bacteroidota.
CGACCUGCCGACAACACUGGGAUAGCCUUUCGAAAGAAAGAUUAAUACCGGAUGGCAUAGUUUUCCCGCAUGGGAUAAUUAUUAAAGAAUUUCGGUUGUCGAUGGGGAUGCGUUCCAUUAGGCAGUUGGCGGGGUAACGGCCCACCAAACCUACGAUGGAUAGGGGUUCUGAGAGGAAGGUCCCCCACAUUGGAACUGAGACACGGUCCAAACUCCUACGGGAGGCAGCAGUGAGGAAUAUUGGUCAAUGGACGAGAGUCUGAACCAGCCAAGUAGCGUGAAGGAUGACUGCCCUAUGGGUUGUAAACUUCUUUUAUACGGGAAUAAAGUGAGCCACGUGUGGCUUUUUGUAUGUACCGUAUGAAUAAGGAUCGGCUAACUCCGUGCCAGCAGCCGCGGUAAUACGGAGGAUUCGAGCGUUAUCCGGAUUUAUUGGGUUUAAAGGGAGCGUAGGCGGGUUGUUAAGUCAGUUGUGAAAGUUUGCGGCUCAACCGUAAAAUUGCAGUUGAUACUGGCGACCUUGAGUGCAACAGAGGUAGGCGGAAUUCGUGGUGUAGCGGUGAAAUGCUUAGAUAUCACGAAGAACUCCGAUUG